This 425-nucleotide ribosomal RNA is filed under the name uncultured bacterium. RNAcentral's name for it is "bacterial SSU rRNA". It matches the Rfam family "Bacterial small subunit ribosomal RNA", at positions 356 to 773 of the family's 1533-position model. The record is from RNAcentral.
GGGGAAUUUUGGACAAUGGGCGCAAGCCUGAUCCAGCCAUGCCGCGUGAGUGAAGAAGGCCUUCGGGUUGUAAAGCUCUUUCGGCGGGGAAGAAAUGGCACGCUCUAACAUAGCGUGUUGAUGACGGUACCCGCAUAAGAAGCACCGGCUAACUACGUGCCAGCAGCCGCGGUAAUACGUAGGGUGCGAGCGUUAAUCGGAAUUACUGGGCGUAAAGCGUGCGCAGGCGGUUUCGUAAGACAGAGGUGAAAUCCCCGGGCUCAACCUGGGAAUUGCCUUUGUGACUGCGAGGCUAGAGUGUGACAGAGGGGGGUAGAAUUCCACGUGUAGCAGUGAAAUGCGUAGAGAUGUGGAGGAAUACCGAUGGCGAAGGCAGCCCCCUGGGUUACCACUGACGCUCAUGCACGAAAGCGUGGGGAGCAAAC